RNAcentral lists this ribosomal RNA (273 nucleotides) under Triticum aestivum (bread wheat). RNAcentral's name for it is "partial small subunit ribosomal RNA". The record is from RNAcentral. Lineage: Eukaryota; Viridiplantae; Streptophyta; Magnoliopsida; Poales; Poaceae.
AUGGCGGAGUGGCGCCAGCGCCACCCGGAGGAUGUCGCCUACGAGCAGGCCUACUGGGCAAGGCGCUGCGAGGAGGACACGCGAAGGCGCCGCGAGACGCGGUUGGAAAGGCGUCAGCGGAAGACGUUGGCGAAUGCGCAGUCCGACAUCGUUGCAGCAGGUGGGCGGUCGUUCUUCGCGCCGAACGAUGAUCGGUGGCUGGACAUCUGGCUAGACACCUCGGACGACACCGCCGAGGAUGAUAAUGGUGAUGAUGAUAGCGACUUAGAGUAG